RNAcentral lists this ribosomal RNA (402 nucleotides) under uncultured bacterium. Its description in RNAcentral is "bacterial SSU rRNA". It matches the Rfam family "Bacterial small subunit ribosomal RNA", at positions 355 to 774 of the family's 1533-position model. The record is from RNAcentral.
UGGGGAAUAUUGGACAAUGGGGGAAACCCUGAUCCAGCAAUGCCGCGUGAGUGAAGAAGGCCUUAGGGUUGUAAAGCUCUUUCGCCCGCGAAGAUAAUGACGGUAGCGGGAGAAGAAGCCCCGGCUAACUCCGUGCCAGCAGCCGCGGUAAUACGGGGGGGGCUAGCGUUGUUCGGAAUUACUGGGCGUAAAGCGUACGUAGGCGGAUGCGCAAGUUGGGGGUGAAAUCCCGGGGCUUAACCUCGGAAUUGCCCUCAAAACUGCACGUCUUGAGACCGAGAGAGGUAAGGGGAAUUCCUAGUGUAGAGGUGAAAUUCGUAGAUAUUAGGAAGAACACCAGCGGCGAAGGCGCCUUACUGGCUCGGUACUGACGCUGAGGUACGAAAGCGUGGGGAGCAAACA